This 465-nucleotide ribosomal RNA is filed under the name Vreelandella stevensii. RNAcentral describes it as "partial 16S ribosomal RNA". It matches the Rfam family "Bacterial small subunit ribosomal RNA", at positions 338 to 795 of the family's 1533-position model. The record is from RNAcentral. Lineage: Bacteria; Pseudomonadati; Pseudomonadota; Gammaproteobacteria; Oceanospirillales; Halomonadaceae.
CCUACGGGAGGCUGCAGUGGGGAAUAUUGGACAAUGGGCGAAAGCCUGAUCCAGCCAUGCCGCGUGUGUGAAGAAGGCCUUCGGGUUGUAAAGCACUUUCAGUGGGGAAGAAAGCCUUGGGGCUAAUACCCUCGAGGAAGGACAUCACCCACAGAAGAAGCACCGGCUAACUCCGUGCCAGCAGCCGCGGUAAUACGGAGGGGGCGAGCGUUAAUCGGAAUUACUGGGCGUAAAGCGCGCGUAGGCGGUCUGAUAAGCCGGUUGUGAAAGCCCCGGGCUCAACCUGGGAACGGCAUCCGGAACUGUCAGGCUAGAGUGCAGGAGAGGAAGGUAGAAUUCCCGGUGUAGCGGUGAAAUGCGUAGAGAUCGGGAGGAAUACCAGUGGCGAAGGCGGCCUUCUGGACUGACACUGACGCUGAGGUGCGAAAGCGUGGGUAGCAAACAGGAUUAGAUACCCGGGUAGUC